GGAAUUUUGGACAAUGGGCGCAAGCCUGAUCCAGCAAUGCCGCGUGAGUGAAGAAGGCCUUCGGGUUGUAAAGCUCUUUUGUCAGGGAAGAAACGGUGCUUUCUAAUACAGAGCGCUAAUGACGGUACCUGAAGAAUAAGCACCGGCUAACUACGUGCCAGCAGCCGCGGUAAUACGUAGGGUGCAAGCGUUAAUCGGAAUUACUGGGCGUAAAGCGUGCGCAGGCGGUUUUGUAAGACUGUCGUGAAAUCCCCGGGCUCAACCUGGGAAUGGCGAUGGUGACUGCAAGGCUAGAGUUUGGCAGAGGGGGGUAGAAUUCCACGUGUAGCAGUGAAAUGCGUAGAUAUGUGGAGGAACACCGAUGGCGAAGGCAGCCCCCUGGGUCAAAACUGACGCUCAUGCACGAAAGCGUGGGGAGCAAACAGGAUUAGAUACCCGGG
Molecule: ribosomal RNA, 440 nt
Filed under: uncultured Duganella sp.
Lineage: Bacteria; Pseudomonadati; Pseudomonadota; Betaproteobacteria; Burkholderiales; Oxalobacteraceae
Description: bacterial SSU rRNA
Rfam family: Bacterial small subunit ribosomal RNA
Source: RNAcentral